This 1431-nucleotide long non-coding RNA is filed under the name Homo sapiens (human). RNAcentral describes it as "HSALNT0298702". Lineage: Eukaryota; Metazoa; Chordata; Mammalia; Primates; Hominidae. The record is from RNAcentral.
ACGCCCACCGGGUCCGCCCCCACGCGGCCGCCUGCACAGGGGGUUCCAGCCACCCGCGCUCUCCCAGGUUUGCCGACCUUACGGGCCCUUCUCCGCCAGCCCUGGCUGGGUCACCCCCACGACCCGGGACUCCCCCGCCGUUCCCUCCCGGGCUGCCUGCAGUGAGGUCCGCUCCUGAGGCCUCAGCCUCGCCGGGGGUGAUCCGCCCACCUCGGCCUCCCAAAGUGCUGGAAUUACAGGCAUGAACCACGGUGCCCGGCUGACACAAGGAACUUUCUAUGAGGUCCUAGGAAUGAAGGAAAACAGGCAAUAAGGCAAGAAUCGCUGUCGAAGGAGUCUGCGCCACCUGCUCGCACAGCUCACUUGUGCCUUCUGAGCCUGCUGGAGCCCAGUGUACAUAUGCCGUCUCCGCGUGAUUAGAGAUUGCUGCUGCACGUGCCCAAUCCCGUGGCGGGGCUGGAACACAAACGGGGUGGUGUUCCAGCUGCAACCAUGCAGAUGAAGACUAUACCCUAGGAGAUGGAGGAACAACAGACAAGAAAGAAACCUGGGUUCCUGAAUAACCACGUGGAGCCAAGCAGCUUACUUAUCUCAAGCCACUGUUGCCCACCUCCAGAUUGGUUCGUGAGAUAGAAAUAAGCUUCUAUCCUUUUUGCAUGACUGCAUUUUGGGGUCUGUGUUAUAGCAGCUUAAUCUCUAUCUGAAUUAUAUUGGAUUUAAGUGUCUGAAGCCCAAUGACUUAACCUUUCCUGAGGCAAAGGCACAGAAGAGCCUAUUUUCCAAAAAUGGGAAAACGAAGACAUAGGAAGGAAAAACCCAACAAAUGGUCAGGAAAUUAUACUGCUAUAGGCUCUUCUCGGAUGAGUGUCUAGUCCUAAUGAGGGGGCUGUGGGAAUUCAAAGACGGAGAAACUGCCUUCAGAUAGAGCUAGUAGGGAAGACCCCUGCAGACAGUGACAUUAAAUUGAAGGUAGAAUUUGGAUAGAUGGACAUGGGGAGGGCAAUUCAAACAAAGGGAACUUGAGCAACAGGGUGGAGGUAGAAAGGUGCCAGAUCUUUUGGGAGAUGCAGAAGUGAUAUCACACAGUUUAAAGCCAGAGUUAAAUAUAAACCGAUACUUAGAAGCUUAAAUUCAACAUGGCAAAUUCACAGGUUUAGUUUCCUAAAAGAUUUUUCAUGUUUUUAUUACAGAACUGUCUGCAAACAAAUCUUUACUUGAUGAGAAGUUUAAAUAUAAUUAAAUCUAGAAUAUUACAUGAAUAUUUUAUUGCUUUAUUAAGUCCUUCAAACAACACAUUUAUUUAUUUAUUUAUUUAUUUAUUUAUUUAUUAUUUUUUUUGAGACAGAGUCUCACUCUGUUGCCUAGGCUGGAGUACAGUGGCACGAUCUCAGCUCACUGCAUCCUCCACCUCCCAGGUUCAAGCGAUUCUCC